RNAcentral lists this ribosomal RNA (497 nucleotides) under uncultured bacterium. RNAcentral's name for it is "partial 16S ribosomal RNA". It matches the Rfam family "Bacterial small subunit ribosomal RNA", at positions 28 to 507 of the family's 1533-position model. The record is from RNAcentral.
GAUGAACGCUGGCGGCGUGCCUAAUACAUGCAAGUCGAGCGAACAGACGAGGAGCUUGCUCCUCUGACGUUAGCGGCGGACGGGUGAGUAACACGUGGAUAACCUACCUAUAAGACUGGGAUAACUUCGGGAAACCGGAGCUAAUACCGGAUAAUAUAUUGAACCGCAUGGUUCAAUAGUGAAAGACGGUUUUGCUGUCACUUAUAGAUGGAUCCGCGCCGCAUUAGUUAGUUGGUAAGGUAACGGCUUACCAAGGCAACGAUGCGUAGCCGACCUGAGAGGGUGGUCGGCCACACGGGAACUGAGAAACAGUCCAGACUCCUACGGGAAGCAGCAGUAGGGAAUCUUCCGCAAUGGGCGAGAGCCUGACGGAGCAACGCCGCGUGAGUGAUGAAGGUCUUCGGAUCGUAAAACUCUGUUAUUAGGGAAGAACAAAUGUGUAAGUAACUAUGCACGUCUUGACGGUACCUAAUCAGAAAGCCACGGCUAACUACGUG